This 246-nucleotide long non-coding RNA is filed under the name Setaria italica (foxtail millet). RNAcentral's name for it is "long non-coding RNA (SITA_LNC003561)". Lineage: Eukaryota; Viridiplantae; Streptophyta; Magnoliopsida; Poales; Poaceae. The record is from RNAcentral.
AAUAAACCAGUCAGCCCAAGGCUGCAAGGUAAAAACUUUGGGCUAGUUACAUUAACAAGGCCAGAUACAAAGGCAGCCCAAUAAACACUGCAGUUAGAGUAGAAGGAGAGUGAGAUAGAGGUCACAGGCUGGACCACCAGAACGAACGAAUCUAUGGUCCCUGUCGUGGUGAUAAAAUCCAUCCAUCCAAGGCACCGACACUCUUGCUCCAGAACACGCCCUUUGACCUUUUGAGAUGCACCGACA